Molecule: ribosomal RNA, 250 nt
Filed under: uncultured bacterium
Lineage: Bacteria
Description: partial 16S ribosomal RNA
Rfam family: Bacterial small subunit ribosomal RNA
Source: RNAcentral
AAUGAACGCUGGCGGCGUGGUUAAGACAUGCAAGUCGAACGGUUCUUAUUGAAACGCAAGUGGAUAUAAGAGCAGUGGCGAACGGGUGCGUAACACGUGAACAAUCUACCUCCAAGUGGGGAAUAGUUCGGCGAAAGCCGAAAUAAUACCGCAUCAGGUUGGCCCUCGCAUGAGGGUCAUACCAAAGUCAGGGACCGCAAGGCCUGACGCUCGGAGAGGAGUUCGCGGCCUAUCAGCUAGUUGGCGAGGU